This 66-nucleotide transfer RNA is filed under the name Pupilla muscorum. Its description in RNAcentral is "tRNA-Gly". Lineage: Eukaryota; Metazoa; Mollusca; Gastropoda; Stylommatophora; Pupillidae. The record is from RNAcentral.
AGUUUCUUAGUAUUUAAGUACGAUUGCCUUCCAAGCAAGAAGUCUUUCUUUUAGAAAGGGAAAUUA